UCGUUGAAAUAUCAACAAACAACUACUGACUCUUAAUCAGGGUGUCCAGGGUUCGAACCCCUGAUGACGCACCA
Molecule: transfer RNA, 74 nt
Filed under: Caudoviricetes sp.
Lineage: Duplodnaviria; Heunggongvirae; Uroviricota; Caudoviricetes
Description: tRNA-Lys
Source: RNAcentral